AAUAAGGUGGCUGAUUAAAGUGGUAAAUUGUAAAUUUAUUUAUGGAUUAUUUCCUCUUAUUA
Molecule: transfer RNA, 62 nt
Filed under: Stegobium paniceum (drugstore beetle)
Lineage: Eukaryota; Metazoa; Arthropoda; Insecta; Coleoptera; Ptinidae
Description: tRNA-Tyr
Source: RNAcentral